CUGUGUGACUUUUGAUUUUAGGUAACAAGACUCCUACAAAAAAUGAAGAUACGACUCAGGCUGCCUCACACAACACGAAAGGCUCUCUAAAUGAGAACAACUUCACGACUCUGGGAAAGAACUCUUACUAUUUCUCUACUGAGAAGAAAAACUGGCAGAACAGCAGAGACUUCUGUUCAAAUCAUCAGGCGACCCUCGCAGUGUUUAAGGAUGAAGAAGAGCUGAACAAAGUUACACAACACAUCAAGAGUCUGGCAGUGCAGGGCAGCUACUGGAUUGGACUGAAGAAUGAGUCAGGCUGGCACUGGGAGGAUGGGACCCUGUUGGACUC
Long non-coding RNA from Polypterus senegalus (gray bichir), 331 nucleotides. RefSeq lists it as uncharacterized. NCBI's taxonomy places the organism in Eukaryota, Metazoa, Chordata, Cladistia, Polypteriformes, Polypteridae. The transcript is spliced from 3 exons. The record is from RefSeq and is a predicted model, not a curated record.